GCCGGGUGUGAUGGCUCACGCCUGUAAUCCCGGCACUUUGGGAGGCCGAGGCAGGCGGAUCAUCUGAGGUCGGGAGUUCGAGACCAGCCUGGCCAACAUGGCGAAACCCUGUCUCUAUUAAAAAUACAAAAAUUAGCCAGGCNNNNNNNNNNGCCUGGCUAAUUUUUGUAUUUUUAAUAGAGACAGGGUUUCGCCAUGUUGGCCAGGCUGGUCUCGAACUCCCGACCUCAGAUGAUCCGCCUGCCUCGG
Gorilla gorilla gorilla (western lowland gorilla) is the source of this 249-nucleotide non-coding RNA. It matches the Rfam family "Metazoan signal recognition particle RNA". Rfam says of the family: The signal recognition particle (SRP) is a universally conserved ribonucleoprotein. NCBI's taxonomy places the organism in Eukaryota, Metazoa, Chordata, Mammalia, Primates, Hominidae. The record is from Rfam.